RNAcentral lists this transfer RNA (72 nucleotides) under Perca fluviatilis (European perch). It matches the Rfam family "tRNA". Rfam says of the family: Transfer RNA (tRNA) molecules are approximately 80 nucleotides in length. Their secondary structure includes four short double-helical elements and three loops (D, anti-codon, and T loops). The record is from Rfam by way of RNAcentral. Lineage: Eukaryota; Metazoa; Chordata; Actinopteri; Perciformes; Percidae.
GGCUCGUUGGUCUAGGGGUAUGAUUCUCGCUUUGGAUUCGAGAGGUCCCGGGUUCAAAUCCCGGACGAGCCC